RNAcentral lists this long non-coding RNA (3085 nucleotides) under Sipha flava (yellow sugarcane aphid). RNAcentral's name for it is "uncharacterized LOC112685174, transcript variant X2". The record is from RNAcentral. Lineage: Eukaryota; Metazoa; Arthropoda; Insecta; Hemiptera; Aphididae.
CUUAUUUUUUCGUUUUUUUCACAACGGUUCGACAAUGUACGCAUAUAUUACAUAAAUAUACGUAUUUUGUUAUACCGUUCGAUAUUAUUUAGUAUGUCGCACUAGCACGCGUCUUUGCGCGAUAUCUUGCGGAGGCGGCCGAUUUGUUUACUAUUUUCUAACAAAAAAUAAUUUAAAAUUAUUUCAAUUCCGUUCGUCUUCGACUAGGAUCGAGGUUUCUUCUCACAUUUAUUUACCAACGUCUGCAGCUCGCACAACAUCGAUCAACUUUAAAUCUAACAUCAUCAGUCUGUGUUGCUUUUUAACACUGAUGCGCAGCCGGCCACAUCCAGCAGUCUUUACAUUAUUUUAACACACUUUUUACAACAAAGAAUAAUUAAUCUUUGUCGCGUUACUCUGGCAACCUACAAACGUUCAUCAAACUAUUCCGUAUAAUGAUUUACACGUGUAUGCGUUCGAGUUGCAUGAAACUUUACUAUUGCACGAAACCGAGGAGAUCGUGUGUGCUAAAGAUUACGGGAGGAAAAAGACAUCUCUUAAAGACGUUCGAUCGUUAUUGUUACGUUAUGUACUCACAUACGAUUCGUUCGUUCGUAACCAUAGCAUAUUUCAAUCGUACGUCUACGUGAGAAUCACUAUAUAUUAGUUCGACAGUUCGAUGAACGGACAAACGCACCGGUGUUGGUAAAAACUAUGAACAAGUGCUCGCGCUCACCUUUAAUAUUAUACUGUUUAUACGUACUACGUUUCACUCAAACAACUGACAUUUGUGUGAAUGCAAUUCUAACGUCUGCGAAUUAAUAACCUUAUACGAACAAUAAAUAUUAUUCUACACUUUUCCCAUGCCCAAGCUGAUUCGAUUUUUUUUCCGACCAACUAAUGUUAUGUACAUGGUCCAAACUCACAAGAACUCUGAACUACAUUCCGUUUGAACGUUCAUUACACGCAAAUACACGGUACAUAAUGCAUUGUGGAAUCGACGAACUGAAUAGAUGAAUAUGCACUGUUCAUACCGACUCUUCAGUUUCAGAUGAACGUAAAUGUCGAUCGUUUUAACGACGAUAAAUGCACAUUUUUCCAACCGGAUUUCGCUGGUUGAUAAACGUCAAUAUACUGUUCGCGAGGGCCUAUUUUUUAAUGUCGUCAAGUAUUUCGAACCCCACCGAACCCGUUUCUACGUCAGGGAAAUUCUAUUCACUUGUCCGAGCGGCGUUCGACGGAUCGGGUCCGUCGCAGCAGCGGAUCAACAGGUAUAACAAGCGGUCGUAACCGAUUGAAAGUCGGUGUUUUCGACCUGCGUUGAAGGAAUGUCUCCAACGUUGGAAGCGAAUCGCAAUUAGCAUUUGGUAUACGGCUAAUUGUACAAUGUAAAUGCACAUCAGUUAUAAGGACUUAAAAAAUAUCGAUUUUAAUCAUAUUCCUAUAUUUAUAACAUAAUUUUUAUUUUUAACUUUCUUUUCCAGCAAAAUGUUUAAGUUAAAUUAAGUUGUUAAGUGUGUACAAAUUAACAUACAGAUAUACAGUGGAUUCCAGUGCUGUUCCUGAGAUCGUAUCAUGCGCAGCCGACAACAAUAGUUUAAUGAUCCAAAAACUCAAAGCGUCCCAUCUUUGAGUUUUCGUUUUCGACGCGGUUGUUAUUUUCAACAAUUUUCUUGCGUACAUGUAGGCAUUGGCGUCAUUUGGAGAAGGGGGCAAAUAAUGCUUUUGCCACAGUCUAUAGUUUGACUAUUCCGAAGUCGACACAUCGUCAAGACAUAAAUACGUCUUUUACAAAGUCAUUGACGUGUUGUAAAUCGGAAAAAUGAUACGUGUACAGUAUACACGGGUACAUAUGUACAAAGUAUAAAUCAUUAUAUUUUUGGACUGGUUUGAAGUUCCCUUCCCUCCCGCCCACGUUAGUCAGUACUUCGAUAAAAUUAGCUGCUGAGUCGGAAAUUUAAUAAGAGCAUGAUGCAGACUGCUCUACACUAGAAGAAACUGAAAUGACACUUAUUACGCGUACAGGUGCUACGCGAACGUAUAACAUUUGACCGUCUCAUUCGGUUCGGUGAUGAUAUUUUAUUCGAGUUUUGGCUUCGAACAAAAAGGAUAGAAAUAAAUUUAAUUGUUUUAAUCGUUGUAAGAUGUACAUCGAAGCCAAAACCAAGAUAUUAAUAUGUAAUUUUAAUGUCUUACGUAGGUAUACGGCGGCAGAGAUGACGUGACUACCUAUUAUUUUGACAUCGUCCUGUUAAAUAUUGACGUUAGCGUACGAUUUCUGCAAAAGUUCGAGUUCACACUACCGGAACCGAAAUCAAUCACUAUUAAACCGUUUACAAUUUCACUGUUUCGUAUGGUUCCUGAAGGAUAUUGCCGUCAUCCUCGCCGGUGGAUUGUAAAUAAUGUACGGAACGAGCAUUAUUAUUUCGUAUCUCCCGUAGCCAUAAGUUGCGCAAGGAAUAGCGCUAAACAUUAAGGACAUAAAUCAUAGAUCGUGACAGGCGAACAAGAAUUUUCGGCUCAAACGUUUUUCUAUAGGAAUCGAGUAGAUCAAUUUCGUUGCAAGAAAAAUAAAAAAUAAAACCAGAUGACGAGCACACACUACAUAUGCACUUGUAAACUUAUAUAUGUGUAUGUUUGAUCUUAUAUAUUUGUGUAUGGCAUUAUGUACAACCAUGUACCGUAUACAUAUUUGAACAUUAUUCAUAUAUUCCUAGGCCGUGAAUAAUACAUACUCUAAAUACGAUCCAUAGUUUUGUAUUCAUACACGAUCAUGUAAGAGAUAAAGACGUCGAUGUUUGUACCACUAAAUCUUCACAUGUGAUAAUCCACAUAGGCGAUAAUCCACAUAGGCGAUAAUUAUUAUUGUUUAUACAACUAUAGUUUUAUAUUAAAAAGCAGAGCUCUCUCGACAUUUUCAUUUAGGGUAGGGGUUGAAAACCUGAAACGGGUAUGUGGACUAUAUAAGGUAGGAUUUAGUGAUCACUAGGGCAUGAAUAUUCUUACAUUUGUAACUUUUUUCUACUGCACCAAUUUAUUGCUAAGUAAUUUUUAAAUUCGUUGUGAGUCAGUUAUUUAAUUUAAAUUUAAAUAUUUCAAGUGCAAU